RNAcentral lists this ribosomal RNA (659 nucleotides) under uncultured fungus. RNAcentral describes it as "eukaryotic LSU rRNA". It matches the Rfam family "Eukaryotic large subunit ribosomal RNA", at positions 24 to 664 of the family's 3401-position model. Lineage: Eukaryota; Fungi. The record is from RNAcentral.
CCCGCUGAACUUAAGCAUAUCAAUAAGCGGAGGAAAAGAAACUAACAAGGAUUCCCCUAGUAACUGCGAGUGAAGCGGGAAGAGCUCAAAUUUUGAAUCUGGCGGUGUUUGGCCGUCCGAGUUGUAAUCUAGAGAAGCGUCUUCCGCGCUGGACCGUGUACAAGUCUCCUGGAAGGGAGCGUCAUAGAGGGUGAGAAUCCCGUCUUUGACACGGACUACCAGUGCUAUGUGAUGCGCUCUCGACGAGUCGAGUUGUUUGGGAAUGCAGCUCAAAAUGGGUGGUAAAUUCCAUCUAAAGCUAAAUACAGGCGAGAGACCGAUAGCGAACAAGUACCGUGAGGGAAAGAUGAAAAGAACUUUGGAAAGAGAGUUAAACAGUAUGUGAAAUUGCUGAAAGGGAAACGCUUGAUGUCAGUCACGUUGGCUAGGGAUCAACCUUGCUUCUCGCUGGGUGUAUUUCCUGAUCGACGGGUCAACAUCAGUUUUGACCGUUGGAUAAAGGUCGAGGGAAUGUGGCACCUUCGGGUGUGUUAUAGCCCUUGAUUGUAUACAGCGGUUGGGACUGAGGAACUCAGCACGCCGAAAGGCCGGGUCUUUGUACCACGUUCGUGCUUAGGAUGUUGGCAUAAUGGCUUUAAUCGACCCGUCUUGAAACACGG